UGUAUUAAUUGAUAAUAAAAAAUAAUUAUAAAUAAAGAAGUAAUGGCGACUCGUAAGACUGUAAUCUGUUAUUGCUGUGGAAGUAACAUCACUGCCCAAGCGAACAAUCGUUACAGUAUGUUUAGCAAAUCUUUUAAUGAUCUUUUGUCGAUAUGGAGGGAGUUAUUUGAGGAGCUUCCUGUAGAAGAGACUUCUGAUGACAUCCUCUACUCCAGUGAAAUAGUGCCUGGUAGAAUAUGUAGGCCAUGUGCAGCAUCACUACAGAAGAUUGCUAAGCUUAAAUCUGUGAAGAAGGAAAUGAAGAAAGAAAUGAAAAAUGCAUUAUCAGUUAUCAAGUCAUACAAGCAAGGUGGAAUGAUAUCUGAAACUGAGGUUGAAAAUCAACUAACUUCUACAUGUACUCCAACUAGUUCACAGUCUUCACUUCCAAUGAAACGUACCUUAGAAAACUUGAAGACAAAUUCACCUCGGAAAAAGGCGAGAGAAAGCAAAACAAUUUCACCAAAAGUUUUGCUACAGGUUGAAAGAGAGAAAACAGUUCAUAGGUACCACCUCCAAGUCAGCUAAAGAAAAUUGAAACAUCGCUUGCUCGUGGCAGUUUUCAGUCAUUUGCUAGACAUUGUCUUUCACAUAAAAAAGUUUAUGAACAUAUUCAAGAAGCAAUUGGAAGGAAAAUUUGAACUGAAAUAAAAUUGACUAGUACAAAGAAUUCAAUUUUAUAUAGCACAUCUGCUGAUGACUUGCGAUCUUUCAAGUGGAAGGAGAUCCAUAAAGAAUUGGAAGAAAAUGCUCCCACAUUACUUUUUUUUCUUGAAGCUGCAACAAAAACUCGAACACCCCGUCCAAAUCACAUUGCCGUUAUAUGUGUCUGUGCUUCAAUUAUUUUAAAGCAUCGUUUCUCACACGUGUCUUUUACAGAAGAUAGUUGGUUUAAUACUCUAUUCAAGUCAUUGCUCAAAAGAUGCAUUUCAGAGACUUUGUAGCAUUGGACUAUCAGUAACUUACACAACUGUUAACAGAACAGUCAAUUUUAUCAGUAAAGACCAUGAUGUGGAAGUAAAGAAGUGGAGGGAUGAUAUUGUUUCUGUACUUUUGAAAGAGGAUCACGCAUUUAGUGCAGCAGAUAAUGGAAUAUUGUUUGGGCCUGAUAAUGAAGACAGUCUCAGCUUAAGAAGCUCUGAUUCUUCUGUUGAUGAUGAGUGUGAAGACUGUAAUAGUGAUACAUCUUGUGAUCCUCUGCCAUUAUCUCCUGUUACAAGUUCAGCUUCGGAUGAUGACGAUAGCUCUACUGAACAAUUUCAAGUAUCACUGUCAGAUGUACAGCAAGAAGUAGUUACAGAAAAAGACAAUGAGCAAUGCAUAGCAGAUUCAGAACCUCUUUGUACCUCUUUCAAAAUUGUUGGGGACAACGUAGACAAAAACGUAACACCUCGCUAUAUGAGAUCAGAUAUACGGACAAAAUCGCUGCAUUAUUAUCACAGUUUUGCUGUCAAAUCAAGGAUAAAUGUUGAUGAUUUACCUAGCCAAAAACCA
Long non-coding RNA from Amphimedon queenslandica, 1533 nucleotides. RefSeq lists it as uncharacterized. The record is from RefSeq and is a predicted model, not a curated record. NCBI's taxonomy places the organism in Eukaryota, Metazoa, Porifera, Demospongiae, Haplosclerida, Niphatidae. The transcript has 6 exons.